AUGUUUUUGGAAGGCCUCUCAGUAUGCCGUAUUAUGACUCCUGCUAAUAUCCUUUAUGACCUCACUUGUGAACAUGGUAGCAUUAUUUUACAGAUGAACAUAAACUCUGAGACAAGACAAGCUAGCUCCCGGGAUUAUNCUACCAUUUUACAGAUGAACAUAAACUCUGAGACAAGACAAGCUAGCUCCCGGGAUUAUGAUGGGAUUUUUCAAGGAGAACUAGAACUGCUCCAGAGGAGAGUAUUCGGAGCAGGACAUGCUCCUAAGCCCGAGGAAGGUACUGCUCACAUGCAGUGAGUCCCGGCACCUCCACUGUUUCCAACAACAAAGUGGAUGGAGAACACUUCAGCCUUGCUAAACAAUGCCGGAAGUCUGGCUGGGCCAAAUGCGUCAGGCUAUUAGGACGGUGCCAUGAAGUCCAUGUCCAUCAUUUUGCCUUCAAAGUGGGAGGUGGGGAGAAAAGGGUGGAGGAAGAAGAGGAAAAAGGGAAAGGGGAAUAAGUGGAGAGGGGGAGAUAAUGGAGGAAAAGAGAGUUUUGAUGUCACAGAGAAAUGACUGUAGAUGUAUCUUUUUUUCACUCUGGACUUCAGCCAACCACCUACUUUUCUCUGAGCUUGACAGGAUAUUGAUCAAUUAUUAGAAAAUUGUAAAAUGUGUUAUAAUUUUCCCAGGGAUUUUUGUACGAAAGCUGUAAUGCUUAAAGACCAACCGAGAAACUCUCGGCUAACCAGAGCUGAUGUCAACAAGUCUUGAUACUUUUUUUGAGUCUGCCCCGUUUCUCCUCUUCUUUAGAACUUUCUCUAACCAGUUCAGGCUAAAGUAACGUCUCUUUUCUCUGAUCUCUUAUGGCAAGCAUUGCCUGGACGACUCAUUCGGUAACUAAUCAUGUUCUACUGCCCUUGUCAUCUCCUGUGUAAAGUAUUUACACUUUUUUUUUUUUAAGAGACAGGUUGUGUGCCUGAGCAGGAUGGGGGAGCAGGGAAGAGAGAAUCGCAAGCAGGCUCCAGCCUGGGGGAGCCCAGAAUGGAACUGGAUCUGACCACCCUGAGACCAUGACCCCAGCAUAAAAGCCACCCAGGUGCCCUGAGUAUUUACACUUUUUAAUUUUCCCCUCCAUCAUUUAUCUUUGCUGUUGCCCAGUUCUUCACUAUUCCCGUCUCUAAUCGUCACUCCUCUUUCCAACCAUCCAAUCAUCUUUCUAAUGGGAAAGCUCCAUGAAGGCAGGGACUUUAUUUCAAACUGCUUCUUCCACCAUGACCACUAUUUCACACCCUCAUCUGCUGCUUUGGAAACAUGC
Molecule: long non-coding RNA, 1297 nt
Filed under: Vulpes vulpes (red fox)
Lineage: Eukaryota; Metazoa; Chordata; Mammalia; Carnivora; Canidae
Description: lncRNA (ENSVVUG00000010978.1)
Source: RNAcentral